AAUCAUCAACUCCUUAUUGCUUUUUUGUAAUGAGGAGCUUGGAUUUGGAGACUGCUGGCCCUUGUAGGGUUCUGGCUUCUCUUGAAUGCAUUAGCUGAUCAUUGGUUUGCAGCAUAUAUGCGGUGUGAUAAUGUCUUCACUGUGUAGCUCAAGUCGCGACUAGCUUCUAAUCGUCCUUUAUGGACAACUUUUGAUC
Molecule: unclassified non-coding RNA, 196 nt
Filed under: uncultured Schizoporaceae
Lineage: Eukaryota; Fungi; Basidiomycota; Agaricomycetes; Hymenochaetales; Schizoporaceae
Description: sequence contains ITS2
Source: RNAcentral